Molecule: long non-coding RNA, 15484 nt
Filed under: Arabidopsis lyrata
Lineage: Eukaryota; Viridiplantae; Streptophyta; Magnoliopsida; Brassicales; Brassicaceae
Description: long non-coding RNA (ALYR_LNC001794)
Source: RNAcentral
CAUUUCCAUUAUCGCACUUACUAUGAUCUUUCUAAAUACACUGUCAGCUGAUUGAUUUUUCAUUUUUUAGGUGGGCCAUAAUUGCAGAGAGAUUGGGCUUCAUGCUGGUGAUUAGAGAUCUCUUGUGGAUCCCUUUCUCUUUAGCAUUCAGGCAUAUAACGGUGAGCUUGAACACAAACAGGACAUACUUCAAUUUUUCUUAUUGACAGUAUCUUCUUGGCAAGUAAGAGUCAUACUUGGAAACAAUAUAGGUAUUGAAUGCUUGAUCACUCUGUGAUUGAACUGUCUUCUCUGUGGUACAUGGCUGGUGGCUUUUGCACAACAAAGUACGGCUAACAGUUCCUGCUAUUGUUGCCAUUGUGUUCUUGAUAGGGUAAGUUUUGAGUGAUGGGUUUUUCGAGAGGCUAACAAACAAAACCAUAUCCUUUGAGAAGAACCCAAAAACACAUAUACUUACCCCUCCAGUGGUCGUUGGUGGGAAAGUAAUACCAGUAUGAUCUUUUUCUCCUUCACUAGUUUCUUGCUUGGUUACACCGCCUCUAUCUUUGAUUGUUCAUCAUCUUUGGGAAUGGCGAAGUGAAUUCCGCAAUGAUACAAUUUCAGUAACUUACACAUGGGAAUUACAAGGCACUGUGAUUACCUUGGCGACUUGAUGCUUGCUCUCUCUUUCUGUUUCGCCGGGGCAAUAAGGUAACUUCUUCUGAAUAUGUUCAUGUAGAAAGUAAUACCAGUAUUUAUCCAGAAUGCUUAUCACAAACACUGAUUUGGCGAAAGAUUAAAAAAUGUUGAUCUUAAACCUGAUAUAAUUGAUUGAUAGUGUCUGGGAUUCUCCAACUUACUUUAUGACCACCAUUUGAACUUUCCAAAGUUUUUCAAUUCCAUUGUUUAAAAAAUACAGACGAAUGUAUUUUGGGUAUCGCUUAAUAUAUGUUUAUUGGAAAAAAUGGAAAAAAAUAAAAACAAAAUAUAAUAUUUGUUAUAAUACAUCAUAUUGGACUUAUAACCGGGCCCAAUAAGCCCAUCAUGGUUAUUUAUUAUGUACUCUAAAACCCUAUGUUUAUAUGCCUAUAUAUAUGUAUCAUUAUUCAUGGAAUGGAAUGAGAUAACAAUAAGUUUCACAACACGUUAUCAGCACGAGUUUGCUCUUAACAACCCUAACCCUAAAAAAAUCGCAAAACACUGUUCACGCCGACACUGUUCAUCGAUACUGUUCAUCGACACUGUUCGCCGACACUGUUCACGCCGACACUGUUCAUCGAUACUGUUCAUCGACACUGUUCGUCGAUACUGUUCACGCCGACACUGUUCAUCGAUACUGUUCACACCGACACUGUUCACACCGAUACUGUUCACACCGACACUGUUCAUACCGAUACUGUUCACGCCGAUACUGUUCACACAGACACUGUUCAUUGGUACUGUUCAUCGACACUGUUCAUAGGUACUGUUCAUCGACAGCGUGAGUUACCGAGGUCUUAAGCUCCCGGUUCAAUCCGUUCAACCCCAAUUGGUGAAAGGUAAAAACAAAACCUUAAAAGCUUAAAGAUCAAAAACCUUGUAUUACUUAAACCUAACACUCAAAAUCGACACUAAGCCAUGGCCGAAAUCUUAAAACCUAAAUCAAAUCAAAUCCAAAACCGCAAUUUUCGUGUAUCCCCUAAACCGGAAAUCAUUUUCGGUUAACUCCUAAACCCGAAUAUCAAUUCGGUUCAUCGGUUAAACUGAUUAUCAAACCGGUUCCAAAAAUAAUAACCGGAUCUCAAUCUGGGUAAACCCGUUCAAACUGGUUAUUCUAAACCGGAAAUCAAUUCGGCCCAAACCGGAAUCUAAUAUUCCGGUCCAACUUUAAACCAUUAAACCGAACUUAUGUUCCGUAUCCUUAAAAUUUACGAUUCCCGAGAAAGUUUCCUAAAAUAGAAACUUUCCUCAAAUAGCAAAUGACCCGGAAUGAAAACUUUCCUCAUUUAGAAAGUUUCCCAAAUUAGAAACUUUCCUCAUUUAGAAGGUUUCCUCAAAUAGAAACUUUCCUCAUUUAGAAAGUUUUCCUCAAAUAGAAACUUUCCUCAUUUAGAAAGUUUCCCCCAAAUUAGAAACUUUCCUCAUUUAGAAGGUUUCCUCAAAUAGAAACUUUCCACAUUUAGAAAGUUUUCCUCAAAUAGAAACUUUUCUCAUUUAGAAAGUUUCCCUCAAAUAGAAACUUUCCUCAUUUAGAAGGUUUCCUAAAAUAGAAACUUUCCUCAAAUAGCAAAUGACCCGGAAUGAAAACUUUUCUCAUUUAGAAAGUUUCCCAAAUUAGAAACUUUCCUCAUUUAGAAGGUUUCCUCAAAUAGAAACUUUCCUCAUUUAGAAAGUUUUCCUCAAAUAGAAACUUUCCUUAUUUAGAAAGUUUCCCUCAAAUAGAAACUUUCCUCAUUUAGAAGGUUUCCUAAAAUAGAAACUUUCCUCAAAUAGCAAAUGACCCGGAAUGAAAACUUUCCUCAUUUAGAAAGUUUCCCAAAUUAGAAACUUUCCUCAAAUAUAAAGUUUCCUCAAAUAGAAAAUUUAAUUAUUUUCAUAUAACUAUCCUUUUAACAAACCCCUAAUGAAAUCAAUUUCAUGUUUCAGAUGUCAAACAUUCAGAAAGUCGAGUUCGAGGCCCUCAAGGUCUCCGGUGAAAACUAUCUCGAAUGGGCCCUGGACACCAGGAUUUUCCUCAACUCAAAGGGACUGGGUGAGUGUAUCAAAACGGAUAACACCGCAUCUGAUAAAGACCGGUCCCAGGCGAUAUUUCAUAUCCGCCAUCAUUUGGCCGCAAGCCUCAAACAGCAAUAUCUCACUCUUGAGAACCCACUCGAACUUUGGGUGGCCCUGAAAAAACGGUAUGAUCACCAGAAAACGGUGCUCUUGCCACAAGCCAAGUUUGACUGGAAGGAACUCCGGUUCCAAGAUUACAAAUCUGUGGAUGACUACAACUCCGAACUCUUUCGGAUAGUUUCAAUCAUGAAACAAUGUGGUGAAGAGGUGUCUGAUAAUGAUCUCCUCGAGAAAACAUUAUCCACCUUCCAUACCCAAAAUAUUGUGCUUCAGCAACAAUAUCGUGCAAUGAAACAUACAUUGUACGAAGAUUUGUUAUCCUGUUUGCUCUUGGCCGAGAAAAACAAUGACCUGUUAAUGAGGAACAGUGCCCAGAGGCCCCCGGGAUCGGCUCCAGUACCAGAUUCCCGCAAAGAAUCCUACAAUGUCCAGCGAGACAGAUCCUCAGAUCGUGGCCAUGGACAUGGGAAUGGACGUGGGAAUGGACGUGGAAAGCGUGGACGCGAAAACGGACGUGGCAACCGACAUAACCUCAGUUAUGGUUCCGGUAAAGGCCAUGGUAUCUCUAAACCAAACCGCCCUGCCCACCCAACCAAUCAGUCUGCCUGUACCAGAUACGGAAUGUUCAAUCACUGGACAAAGAACUGUCGUACUCCCAAGUUUCAUUGCGAUUUGUAUCAGAAACAUGGGAAAGCACCUGCUGAAGCUAACAUGGCCCAGCAAGUUGAUGCUAACGACACCACCACCGAGCCGACCGAUCUCAUGGACUACGAGACCUCAGAUCUCCUCGAUUGAUUCUAUCAUCUGAACACUUGCUUAUUUUGAUUUUGUUUCUUUUCAUUUUGGGGAUUUAUUUUAUUUUCAUUUGCUAUUUAUUUUCAGACAUUUUGAUAUUUUAUUAAUUUAUGAAUCUUAUGAUUUACUCAUUUUUAAAUCAUACCUCUUGUUUAAAUUGAAGAUAUGAACACUCAAAAGGAUAUCAUAGUGGUGGAUAGUGGAUCUAGCCACACUAUCCUCAAAGACAAGAGUUAUUUCAUAAAUUUAAUCAUGCAAACCGCGAAUAUUAGCACAAUAGCGGGUAGCUCGAACUUAAUAGAAGGCCACGGCCAGGCCCAUGUGUUGUUAUCAAACGGCACACAUCUGGACAUUCCAGAUGCAUUAUACUCACCCAGCUCAAAAAGAAACCUUUUAAGUUUUAAAGAUAUCAGACUUAAUGGUUUCCACAUAGAAACCCAGGGUGAAGGGAAUAAAGAAUCCCUACUGAUCACUAUGAUCACACUUGGCCAUAAACAAGUCCUCGAGACUAUACCCGCUUUAUCUACUGGCCUUUACUAUGCCAAGGUCAGUAUGAUUGAGGCUAAUAAUGCUCUCAAAGCCCGGUUCCAAGACUACACUAUUUGGCACGACCGGCUUGGUCAUCCCGGUACAACCAUGAUGCGUAAAUUAAUCCAAAGUUCUCAAGGACACACCCUUCGAGAAAACCGAGUCUUCUCUCAGCACCUCAUGUGCACAGCUUGCUCCCAAGGGAAGUUGAUCACUCGGCCUUCACCAGUAAAAGUGUUCAAAGAGACAUUGCAUUUUCUGGAAAGAAUCCAAGGAGAUAUCUGUGGUCCCAUUCACCCACCUUCUGGGACAUUCCGGUACUUCAUGGUACUAAUAGAUGCUUCGACCCGUUGGUCGUAUGUAUGCCUGUUGUCUUCUCAGAACCAAGCUUUUGCUAGGUUGUUGGCUCAAAUCAUCAGAUUACGAGCCCACUUUCCAGACUUCCCACUAAAAACUAUACGUCUUGAUAAUGCUGGUGAAUUCACUUCCCAAGCGUUUAAUGAUUACUGUUUGGCCAUGGGGGUGACCGUUGAACAUCCUGUGGCACAUGUCCAUACUCAGAAUAGACUUGCUGAAUCAUUCAUUAAACGAAUCCAAUGGAUUGCUCGACCAUUACUCAUGAGGUCGAAACUCCCGGUCUCAGCUUGGGGACAUGCAGUAUUACAUGCUGCUGAACUAAUACGCAUCCGACCAUCUAGUGAGCAUAGAUAUUCCCCAUCCCAAUUAUUACAGGGUCAUGAGCCAGACAUCUCCCAUCUCAAAACAUUUGGGUGCUCAGUCUAUGUACCCAUUGCUCCACCACAUAGAACCAAAAUGGGACCUCAAAGGAGAAUGGGAAUAUAUGUUGGUUUUGAUUCUCCCACCAUCAUCAAAUAUCUCGAGCCGACCACUGGAGACCUAUUUAAGGCCAGAUAUGCGGAUUGCCAAUUUGAUGAAUCGGUAUAUCCAACAUUGGGUGGAGAGAAACACAAGCUGGUCAAAGAGCUAUCAUGGAAUCAAACAUCCUUAAAUUGGCAAGAUCCUCGGACUCUAGAAUGUGAUUCGGAGAUCCAAAAGAUUAUACACUAUCAAAAGCUAGCUAAUUAAUUGCCAGAUUCCUUUGCUGACCCGAACAAAGUAACCAAAUCGUACAUACCAGCUUGUAAUGCACCAGUACGAAUCACUGUUCCAACGGGACAAGUUCAAGUUGCUACAGAGUCUGCAUCACGAAAUAAACGUGGUAGACCUCUAGGUUCCAAAGACAAGAAUCCACGGAAAUCAAAGAAAGGUGCAAUAGUUGAAACCAGGAUUCCCAAUAUAACAGACAUAGCGCGCGCUGAGACUCACUCUAAUGAACCACCAGAAGAGGUUCGGGACGCCGAAUCUCUAGGUUCUGACGAGAUCGAUAACAAUGAGAUCUCUAUCAAUUACAACAUGUCUGGAACCCAAUGGAACAGAAAAGAAGUCGACUUAAAUGCACUCUUUGCAUACAAAGUAGCACUUGAUAUUGCAAACACGCAAGAGGAUCUAGAACCCACGUCUAUCAUAGAGUGCACUCAUAGAACAGACUGGCUAAAAUGGAAAGAAGCCAUAAACGUGGAGUUAAAGAGUCUCAAACUCAGGAAUGUGUUUGGUCCGAUCAUCCGGACACCAUUCAAUGUCAAACCAGUGGGCCAUAAAUGGGUCUUUGUGCGUAAAAGAAACGAACUCGGUGAAGUCGUUCGUUAUAAAGCACGGCUUGUAGCACAAGGAUUCUCACAGAGACCCGGAAUCGAUUAUGAGGAGACUUAUUCUCCGGUGGUGGAUGCAACUACUUUUCGAUUCCUCAUAAGUCUGGCCAUAAGAGAAAAUCUAGAUUUGCGGUUAAUGGAUGUUGUCACCUCAUAUCUCUAUGGGCCCCUCGACAAUGAAAUAUACAUGAGAUUACCAUAUGGCAUAGAGCUUAAAGAUAAGCAUGCAUCUCGAGAUCAAUACUGCAUCAGGCUGAACAAAUCCUUGUAUGGACUGAAACAAAGUGGACGUAUGUGGUAUAACCGGUUAAGCGAAUAUCUCAUCAGAGAAGGCUACAAAAACGAUCCCAUCAGUCCAUGCAUUUUCAUCAAGAAAUACUCAAACAAAGGAUUUGUAAUCAUAGCAGUUUACGUGGAUGAUCUAAACAUCCUCGGAACAUCUGGUGAAAUCUCCCAAACAGUCGACUGCUUGAAAGUAGAAUUCGAAAUGAAAGACCUAGGUAAAACUAAAUUCUGUUUGGGUUUACAACUUGAGUACGUUAAAGGAGGAAUCCUUGUGCAUCAAGCGGCUUACAUUGAAAAAGUACUCAAGCGAUUCAAUAUGGACCAGGCCCACCCAUUGAACAGCCCAAUGGUUGUCCAGAGCCUAGGAUUGGACAGUGAUCCAUUUGGUCCCAAGAAGGACGAUGAAGAAAUUCUCGGUCCAGAAAAGCCAUACCUCAGUGUUGUAGGAGCGUUAAUGUACUUGGCUAGUCACACUAGACCAGACAUUUGUUUUGCCGUGAACCUCCUGGCUCGCUUCAGCUCAUGUCCAACUCAGAGGCACUGGAAUGGUAUCAAACACCUCCUAAGAUACCUUCAAGGUACUAAAGACUUAGGACUGUUUUACACUAACCACAACAAGGAUGGACUAGUUGGUUUUGCUGAUGCAGUAUAUCAAUCAGAUCCGCACAAUGCCAAGUCUCAAACUGGUUAUGUGUUCACGCAUGGAGGAACAGCUAUCUCUUGGAGAUCGAUAAAGCAGACAAUCACUACCACUUCAUCAAACCAUGCAGAACUUUUGGCCAUUCACGAAGCCAGCAGAGAAUGUGUUUGGCUACGAUCCAUGACUCAGCACAUCCGAUCAGAUUGUGGUAUGAAAGAAGAUAAGGAGCCCACGGUUAUGUUUGAAGACAACGCGGCUUGCAUUGCUCAACUCAAGGAAGGUUAUAUCAAAGGAGAUCGGACGAAGCACAUCCUACCGAAAUUCUUCUCAACCUCGGAUUGGCAGAAGGAUGGUACGAUCAGCGUUCAACAGGUCCGAUCAUGCGAUAACUCCGCCGACCUUUUCACCAAAUCAUUGCCCGCUUCAACACUCCGGAAGCUCAUCCAACAAAUAGGAAUGCGUAGACUUAGAGAUCUACGGUGAUGCUCUAAUCAGGGGGAGUAAUGCGUGUUGUACUCUUUUUCCUUCACCAUGGUUUUUCCCACUGGGUUUUCCUGGUAAGGUUUUAAUGAGGCAACAUUCCCCAGCGUAUUAUCGAGAUCCCGAUUGACCAUCAGGUCCGGUUACUCCGUCCAAGGGGGAGUGUUAUAAUACAUCAUAUUGGACUUAUAACCGGGCCCAAUAAGCCCAUCAAGGUUAUUCAUUAUGUACUCUAAAACCCUAGUUUUAUAUGUCUAUAUAUAUAUAUAUAUCAUUAUUCAUGGAAUGGAAUUAGAUAACAAUAAGUUUCACAACAAUAUUAACAUUUGUUUUCUUAUAUGCGCUACAAGAAGCGUAGGAUGCAAGCAUCCCCGGAAACUAAUAAAAUCUUCAAAUUGAUAUGUAUAUUGGGGAACUGUUGUCCUCUCUCGAGUCGCCGAUCUGAUAACAAAUCAAUCACAAGUGUAAGCAAAUAUCUAGCUGAAGCCAGAUUCGAGCGAGAAUUGGGUGUCUCGAAUAUUGCUAGACUGCGUUUGCGUUUGGAGCGUUUUUGAUUCGAUAGCAGCACUGGGAAGGCAUAAAUCUGAAGGAUUUUAGUAAUCUUCUAAAUUGGUUGUCUCUUCACUAUAAACGACAAUGAAACGAUGGUAUGUUUCUCUGUUUUGUUACAAAUCGUUCUAUAUGCAAGCUCUAAAACCCUAAUUUUAAUCUUGUCUACUUUUGGUUUUGUUUGUGAAAAGUUUGAGAAUUCGAGUUGUUAUGGGUAGAGACAGGAUCAGUGAGUUGCCUGAAGAGUUACUUCUAAAGAUACUGUCUUUUCUUCCAACAAAAACUGUCAUAUCCACGAGUGUUUUGUCGAAACCAUGGCGGUCUCUUUGGAAGCUGGUGCCGAAACUCGAGUUCGAUUCUCAGGAUCGGAGAACUGCAGAGAAUGUAGGCAGGUCUUUGCUUUUACAUAAAGCUCCAGUUUUAGAGAGUUUGCAUCUCACAGGUUUAUGUGAUGAUAUAGAUGUUGGACUAUGGGCUGGAAUUGCAUUUGCACGCAACGUGCGUGAAUUCUUACUCCAAGUUUGGAUUCCCUUUUCCAUGCCAGUCACAUUUCCGAGUAGCUUGUUUUUCUGUGAUACACUUGAGACCUUGAAACUCAAGAAUCCUCCUAUUGAGAUAGAUGUUCCUUCUCCCGUUUCUAUGAAGUCUCUUAGAACGCUUCACCUUGAAUAUGUGACGUACAAAGACGAUGAAUCCAUUUGUAACCUUUUAUCUGGCUGCCCUAACCUUGAAGAUUUGCUUGUGCAUCGAGGUUACCCUAAUAAUGUAAUGAAUUUUGUUAUUGUGGUGCCAUCUUUGAAGAGACUAUCCAUUAAAGAUUUCACUGGUGGACGGAAUGGGGGCUAUGUGAUAAACGCUCCAUCUUUGAAAUACUUUCAAAUUGAAAGGUUAUCAGGUUAUGAGCUUUGUCCGAUUGAGGAUGCGCCAGAGCUAGUUGAGGCAAAUAUUAGAAACGUUUCUAAUAUAGUCAAUGAGAAGAUUUUGGGAUCUCUCAAGUCGGCCAAGCGUCUUUCCUUGGACUUAUCACCUUUGGAGGUAAACUAUGCUUGCAAUUUAACUUAUUUGUUGUUUAUGUCAUAGUUUUAAUAAUAUGAUCUUUAUGCAUAUAGAUUAAGUGUCCUGCCGGAGCUAUUUUCUAUCAGCUGGUAUGUCUAGAGAUGUAUACACAUAAAGCGAAGUGGUGGAAUCUACUUACGAUCAUGCUCGAUAGCUCUCCUAAACUACAAGUUCUCAAGCUCAUUGAUGUAAGUUAUUUCAUUAUUAGUCGGCUAGGUAUUUUGAAGGUCUAAUGGGUAAUAUACACUAAUUCCUCUUUGCCGCGUGUUUUUCUUAUCAGCAAAAUCAGGAUUCUAGUAAAGAUGGUGUGGUUGGCGGGAAAUGGAAGGAGCCAAAGCGUGUUCCUGAAUGUUUAUUGUCACACCUUGAGACAUUUGUGUGGACAAGAUAUGAUUGGAGAAGAGAAGAAGAGAAAGUAGUGGCUAAAUACAUUCUAAGGAACGCAAGACGUUUGAACAAGGCAACUUUCUCUACAAGACCCAUUGAAUCCAAAAAGAAGCUUGAAAUGCUCAACGAGAUGAAUGGUGUGGUCAAGGCUUCAUAUUCAUGCCACCUAGUGUUCGAAUAAUCUUAUAUGUAUUUAACUUUUCUAGUAAGAUAAGAGCUUUUUUACUUUGUUAAUAUAGAUUGUUACUUUAAUUGCUUUAGAAGGGAUUUAUACUGGUCCCGGAUUUCAAGGUAUGGUGGAUUUUGUGAUUUCCAGGGAGAGAUUUAAAACAUGAAAUCAAUGAGUAAGUGGUGAAAGAGAUGAAUGGCAAAGUGAUUUUACAAUUGCAAUAUUUGAUUGAUUUGUAGGGUUGGCCGGUUGGACAUAUAACAAAUUAAACCAGUAUCUCUUUUCCCCUAACUGUGGUCAUUUGUACAAUAGGACGUAAGAAUCUCCUUGUCAGUUUCCAAUAUUUGCUGUUGAUGAUUUAUUUAGUUACUAAACAUACCAAAAAGAGAGACAAACAAUGACAGAGGAUGUGGAAAUGUACAACAGAAAUACAAUAUAACUUGUGUGAAAGAGAUAGUUUGAUCAUAUAAGACUUGGUCAGUAGACUGAUAGUCUCUUUGGUUCUCCUCUUAGUUCUUUCCGGACAAGCUUUAAGAUCACGAUAAUCUGCAAGAUACGAAAGGUCAAAAAGUUUGAUGAAAGUGUAUACUAUACAACGUUGUAUAUGAGAACUUGUGGAGAGAAAAGAGAGAUUUUGCUUACGCCAGGGUAAUGCUUUAGUAUUGGAGAGUAAUGAUCAAGAGCAAUAUAAACUUUCUCAAGCCAAGAGAGAUUUCGUUUCAUCGCUAAGGAGAUCAGUAAAAGAUUAUCAUGCUACCAAAUGGCCAAUAAAAGAAAACAACACAAAAGGGUGAGUCGGCUUCAAGACGAAUGAAAAGGACCAAUCUUUGAGGAACAUAAUUUUUAGCUACAAAACCAUCUUUCAUGGCGGAAAAACGGAUGAUUAUAUGAUUUAUACUUGUUUUGGAUGAGUAACAAGUUCAAGCUUUUACUUUAGGGGAAUUUGGAAACAUGCAAGUUUACGAAAUGGACAUACCAAGUUGGUGGUUUUUGCGGUCUCUCAUUGGUACUAUAUCUUGUUCCCUGCAUUUUCAUGAAAGAACAGAUCUAAAUGCCUUGGUGGGGACUUCUUCUAGCAUCAUUCAUGGCCGUUACCUUCACUGUUAUAGUCAGAUAUAUCACAUCUAUAGCUAAUCAGGUGGUUUAACUUCCACUAUUUAAUCCUGAAAACAUGUUUUGGAUUUGUUUUUUCUAAUUUCUCACUUUUAAACUGUUGUGACAGACUCCAGAUAAUUUCUCAUGGGUGUGUUGUUAUGGGGGAGACCAAUCGCUAACGUCUGCUUCAAAACUUUUGGUUACAUUAAGCAUGUCACAAGCAAUUUCAUUCCUUAACGACUUCAAGCUAGGCCAUUACAUGAUGAUACUGCCAAGAUCGAUGUUCUUAGUCUAGUUCAUAGGAUAGGAGCAGUGAACAUACCAGUGACAUGGUACUUGCUUAGGAAACAUCUGUCAGAAAGACUACCUGCAAACAGUCCAUGGACAUGUCCAAGUGACAGAGUUUCCUUUAACGCAUCAGUGAUUUGGGGAUUAGUAGGACCCAAGAGAAUCUUUGGUCGUCUAGGAAACUACUCUGUACUUAACUGGUUAUACUAACGAACAAAAAUAAAGAGUAAGAGUAGAAAGAAAACACUCAUCAGUAAGAGUACUAAGAAAACACGUAUCAAUGAGUAAGAGUAGGAAGAGAUGAAAGACAAGUACUAGACAAAGUAACAAUGAAUAGCUAUAAGAGAUGAAUAGCAAGAGUAGUAAGAGUCUAAGAGAUGAAAACACGAAUCAAUGAGUAAGAGAACGAAGAGAUGAGUUCACAGACUCCGUGGAGCCCUGUCCACUCCCGCUGGAGGGACUCUCCACAACCAUAACAAUGUUCAGGUAAGAAACCCCCACACUAUCAACAUCUUCUUCUACAUGUAGCUCCGUGUUUUGAUCGUCGAAAGUCUUCAGUCCAUCUGAUGUGGAUAUGUAGCAACCUCUUGGGAAACUACCGUAAGCUCUUUGACACCCCAGCUGAGCCAUAUCAGAAUUCGUGGUAAGAAUCAAGUCGCCUUCCACAUCAAUGCCCCAAUAGAAAGGAAGAUGUGCAUCACGAUCCUGUAAAACAAAAAGCAUUCAAAUCAUAUAAGCUUCAAAUCAAAUCAUAAGUAUGGAAAUGAAGUGUGUUAAUGUAUUACUGUAGCAGCAAAGACCGUCUUCUUCAGGUUAUCGAAGAGAAUGAUAGUAAACUUCCCCUUGGCAGCUCUUACUAAGUUCAACCAGUAAAAUUCUCGUUGGUCCUUCUGAAGCUUUGUUUCUGGGCCAUCGUUAAUGCGCCUUUGUGAUUUAUAAGCCUCGAUGAACAUGGUAGGCUGAUCAAUGUCCUUAUUGAAGUGGAAUUUUGAAGCCAAAUAGUCUAUAUUCUCAAUGCUACCGCUCAAUAUACAGAACAUAUCGUCUUUUGCUUGGAAACGACUGCAAAAUUAAACACAACAACAAUCUUAACAUACUAAGUGAACAAUUUAAGAUAUCGUCUCCCUCUUAAGAACUUACUAAACUAAGCGAUCUCAACAGAAAUUACCGAAACCUAAAGUUCCAUAGCCCUAAAUCAUAGCGAUCUCUAACGACAUACGAAUCAAACCAAAAAUCAUUGAGAAAUUGUAAUCUCAGCACGCGAAUCUAACAUCUGCGAAGUAAAAACCUAAAGAUAAUCUAACAUCUGGAAAUAUAUAACCUCUAAAGAACCCUAACAUACAUAAAUGGCGAUCUCACGAGUCACGAACAAGACAAUCCAAUGAAAUCUUACCAAAAACUCUCAAUAAGCUUAAGAUCGAUAGAGGUUGUAUCUUACUUCGCGAUGAUAGAAUUUGUCGGAGCCACUGUAAUUGCAAGCAUACACCAUGGCUGAAUAUCAACCAUAAACGAAUUCGCGUACUCGUUAGUGUAGUAUUUAGCCAGAGAAUUUUCCAUGGCGGAAACGGACUCAGAGGUGUGCAGAUUCAGCGACUUGUCCAACUCUGGGAAUGGCGCCACCUGCUUCGAGAAAACUCCAAGCAUUUUUCCUCCGAAGCUUCGAGAGAGAUUUUUCAGAGAAAAAAAGUCGAGUUGGGGAAGAGAACGAACUCUGUUAGCGAAAAGAAAAGAGCCGGGAAAGAAAUAAAAAGCGAGUUUUCUCUUCGCCGACCUUCCAGAUUGUACCACGUGGCGUGAUGGGCGGUUAGGAUUGUUUGUUAAAUUCUUCUUCCUCCCACGCUUAAUUUAUUUUCUGUUGCAUUUUGAAUUUGUUUUUAAUUAUUGUGAAGCGGAAAUUAAAUAUGGAUCUCUCGGUGUUCUUCUACUAAUCUAAUCUUUAGCUUUGGUUCAAUCCAUCUCGCAAUUGUUAUUGUUGUGAUUUUUGGUUUCCGAUUUUGUCAAAUUUGUAUCCUGGGUUCUGACAAUUAGGUUUUAUUUGCUGCUCUGGUGUUUCCGGAGAAAUUCUCCCCUGGAAAAGUUAUUCACGGCGUCCUUUUAUCAGAUGGUUCUCAAUUUCGUACCGAUGCAAUGGUUAAUUUGAUUUGAUUUAAGUCUUUCUACUAUUCCUGGGAUUUUGUGAGCUCGAAACUUUUAUGUCCAUUAAUUUUGCUAAUCCAAUUUCAGGUCUAUUUGCAUUAAUAUUGUUGCUAGCUUUUUUUCGGAAUCUGUGCAAAAAUCGGCAUUCUUGUAAGUGUAGUUACCAUUUUCUGAUUCAUGUCUCACGAUAUCUUGUACAUGACUGGCACUGGAAUAGUACAUUUGUAUUUAUAUCACUGCAGUGUACAGACACUGGAUGGUGAAGUAGUGGAAGCUUAUGAGGUCAGAAUGUGGAGGUGAGACUGACCAACAUUCUCAGUAAGGAGUUUAUUUGAGCAUUUUUGUUAGGGACUCAUCAAAUGUGUUGUUUGAUGUUCCAUCAGGGAGAGAUUUACCGAUAAGACAUGUCUUGAGAAAGAGCAAAAUGAUCCUUGGAUUGCUCGAAGGAAUUCCCACGAUGUACAAGGCUGAAAAUUGCAAUGGUAAUUAGGAUUUUGUUUAAACAUAUGUUCUUGUUUGUGUACCGUGUCAAAGAUAAUGUUUGCUCGAGUGUUUUGCCCAUUUUUGUAUAUUUCAAAGCUUUGUCUCUUUACUUUGUUUCGUAGUUUGGUUUCAGAACAGGGUUUAGUUUAUUUACUUGAGUUACCUCAACUUCAGUGAGUUGAUACGCCAAAUCUUCCAUUAGCUAUUUCAGAACACUUUCUUGGUUCUUCACGGCUGAAGAAGUCUUUAUCAAAUUUUUCCUUUUAUUCAGUUCAAGAUGAAACCUGAAAUGCACUAUGCAGAAAGUGAUUGUCCAGUCUUUGCGCCAGGCAAUUUUCCAAAAGAUGAUGAGUUUCGUUUUGAGAUUGCUUUGAUGGAUUUCCCAAAAGCCAAGGCAAGAUCUCAUCACAACCCAAGAUAACAGUGCUCUAGUUAGCCGAAAAGACUCUGAGAACUUGCAUUUCAUCUGUUUUGACUUAAGCUUUGUCAUUUCCUUUGUGUUAAUGUCCAGAUUGCAAAUGAUGAUUUGGGGGUCAUCAAGAAGGUAGGACCUGAAUUUCCAUAUUUGUAGAUAUAUCAUUUGGGUCCGGGAUGAUGUAUGUCUUUGGUGGUCUGGGCAAGGGUAGUGUAAGGAAGAAUAAGCAGGCUUAGACUGAUAUGAUCCAAACCUUUCUUGUUCUUCAGUAGAAUGAUAUAAAAAAAAACCUAGUGGAGUUAUUUACGCUUUUUGGGGUUGCCUAAGACUAUGGAACCACGAAGAGUUUCAAGUAAUUUCUCCUAGAAAGAAUGUCGAUUGCUCUUUAAUCACUAGCAGUGACUUAACUUUUGAACUCCAUUGUGAAACCAAAAGUUCUGGUUUGGCUUUCACUUGCUUCUUCAGAACAGAUGCUUUGAUUUUCUUCAUUCUGAUCUUUUUUAUUUCAUGUGAUAGGUGGUUUGGAAUACAGCUGAACCCUCCAUUUAUGAGCAUAGAUCUCAAGUAAUCAAUCUUUCCAUUUUUCUCUUCUAUCUGUAAGCCCGGGCAGCAUCAUUACUUCAGUUUGCAUAUUACAGAUAUGAGUAGCGGGUUUUUAUAAUGCUAUCUACAGUUAUGCAUGUUUAUGAUGAUGGGAAUUAUUCCUUGUUUAGCCGGGAUGAUGAGAUAUUGAGAUGGCUGAUCAAUAUCUCUAUUCUGGCAAGACUUGUGCAGGAUGGUUCCUGAGUCAGUCAAUGAUUCCAUACCAGAUUUUCUGUGCGGUAUAUAUAUAUUUGGUUUUGCUUACAAUACCCGCUUCUUGAAAUUCUGAUCAUCCGUGUUUUGUUAGUCUUACAAUAGUUUAUAAUUGAGUUAUAUACAUUGGAAUUGGAGUACUUUUUUCAUGAAUAAUACAUGACCUCUAAGUAAGUUCAUGGUGUCGUGAUGGAACAUAUUCAUCUUACCAAAAUAUGACCAUUUCCAUUAUCGCACUUACUAUGAUCUUUCUAAAUACUGUCAGUUUUUCAAUUUUUAGGUGGGCCAUAAUUGCAGAGAGAUUGGGCUUCAUGCUGGUGAUUAGAGAUCUCUUGUGGAUCCCUUUCACUUAAGCAUUCAGGCAUAUAAAGGUGAGCUUGAACACAAACAGGACAUACUUCAAUUUUUCUUAUUGACAGUAUCUUCUUGGCAAGUAAGAGUCAUACUUGGAAACAAUAUAGGUAUUGAAUGCUUGAUCACUCUGUGAUUGAAUUGUCUUCUUUCUGGUACAUGGCUGGUGGCUUUUGCACAACAAAGUAGGGCUAACAGUUCCUGCUAUUGUUGCCAAUUGCCUUGUGUUCUUGAUAGGGUAAGUUUUGAGUGAUGGGUUUUUCGAGAGGCUAACAAACAAAACCAUAUCCUUUGAGAAGAACCCAAAAACACAUAUAUUUACCCCUCCAGUGGUCGUUGGUGGGAAAGUAAUACCAGUAUGAUCUUUUUCUCCUUCACUAGUUUCUUGCUUGGUUACACCGCCUCUAUCUUUGAUUGUUCAUCAUCUUUGGGAAUGGCGAAGUGAAUUCCGCAAUGAUACAAUUUCAGUAACUUACACAUGGGAAUUACAAGGCACUGUGAUUACCUUGGCGACUUGAUGCUCUCUCUCU